RNAcentral lists this long non-coding RNA (575 nucleotides) under Olea europaea (common olive). RNAcentral describes it as "long non-coding RNA (OEUR_LNC012436)". Lineage: Eukaryota; Viridiplantae; Streptophyta; Magnoliopsida; Lamiales; Oleaceae. The record is from RNAcentral.
UCAUCAAUCUUGUGAACUUCUUCGACAACAUGACUUUCUUCACCUCCAACUACAGCAGCUUCCGUAUCUCCAAAUUCUUUAACAUGAUGACCUUUCCCAUCGUUGAAAAGCCUUAAAAUCUCAUCCAUAGUACUUGAUAUCAUUGCAGUCACAGACUCGGACAAGAAUUGCAUAUUCGUCCGAAUUUCUGUCAUGUCACAUUUUAUCUGUUCUUGCAUCUUCAUGAUUUCAUUAAUCUUUUUUGUCUGAUCACUCCGUUCCGUCCCAUGAUAUUGUGGUUCAUUUGGUGAAUGUUGGGGGGCCGAAGGGCCUUCAGCAGCAUUGGAUGUUUCCUGAUGUGAUGUCACCUCACAUCAUCGUGGAGGAUCCACGAAAUCAUCGUCGUCAUCUGCAACAUGAGCAGGUCCAACGCCAAUGUCCGUUACCAAAGGCACAGAUUCUCCACUCAUGCUAGCAGGGUUAGCAGACUUUCGCUUCCUGUUUUUCCUUCGAUAGCUGCCACAGGAAAACUCCGGUUGAUUUGUUUUGUUAUACUGCACCCCAUCCAUAUAUGGCAUCGCCAUUUUCGCUUCACU